Molecule: ribosomal RNA, 570 nt
Filed under: Cylloepus sp.
Lineage: Eukaryota; Metazoa; Arthropoda; Insecta; Coleoptera; Elmidae
Description: partial large subunit ribosomal RNA
Rfam family: Archaeal large subunit ribosomal RNA
Source: RNAcentral
AGAUUUAACCUGCCCACUGAUAAUUAUUUAAUGGCCGCGGUAUUUUGACCGUGCAAAGGUAGCAUAAUAAUUAGUUUUUUUAUUGAAAGCUGGAAUGAAUGGUUGGACGAGGAAAUUUCUGUCUCUGGCUAAUUUUUUAUAAAAUUUUAUUUUUAAGUUAAAAAGCUUAAAUUUUUUUAAAAGACGAGAAGACCCUAUAGAGUUUAACAUUUUCAAGAUAGUAUGUUUUAGGAAUUAAAUUUUUAUUUUUUUGGUUUUGUUUUAUUGGGGUGAUAGAAAGAUUUAAUUAACUCUUUUUUUAUUUUUACAUUAAUAUAUGAUUGAUUGAUCCGUUUUUACGAUUAUAAGAAUAAAUUACCUUAGGGAUAACAGCGUAAUCUUUUUAGAGAGUUCUUAUCGAGAUAAAGGGUUGCGACCUCGAUGUUGGAUUAAAGUUAAUUUUUGGUGCAGAAGCUUAAAAAUUGAGUCUGUUCGACUUUUGAAACUUUACAUGAUCUGAGUUUAAACCGGCGUGAGCCAGGUUGGUUUCUAUCUUUAGACUAUGAAAAUAUUUUAGUACGAAAGGACCAA